This 278-nucleotide ribosomal RNA is filed under the name uncultured bacterium. RNAcentral describes it as "partial 16S ribosomal RNA". It matches the Rfam family "Bacterial small subunit ribosomal RNA", at positions 506 to 784 of the family's 1533-position model. The record is from RNAcentral.
UGCCAGCAGCCGCGGUAAUACGUAGGGGGCAAGCGUUAUCCGGAAUUAUUGGGCGUAAAGGGUACGUGGGCGGCUAAAUAAGUCAGGCGUGAAAGGCAUCGGCUCAACCGGUGUAAGCGUUCGAAACUGUUUAGCUUGAGUACAGGAGAGGAAAGUGGAAUUCCUAGUGUAGCGGUGAAAUGCGUAGAUAUUAGGAGGAACACCAGUGGCGAAGGCGACUUUCUGGACUGUAACUGACGCUGAGGUACGAAAGCGUGGGGAGCGAACAGGAUUAGAUA